CACCGGUACUCGCGAAUGCUCUAGAUUAAGUUUGAUCAUGGCUCAGGACUGAACGCUGGCGGCCGAUGCCUAAUACAUGCAAGUCGAGCGAAUGGAUUGAGAGCUUGCUCUCAAGAAGUUAGCGGCGGACGGGUGAGUAACACGUGGGUAACCUGCCCAUAAGACUGGGAUAACUCCGGGAAACCGGGGCUAAUACCGGAUAAUAUUUUGAACUGCAUGGUUCGAAAUUGAAAGGCGGCUUCGGCUGUCACUUAUGGAUGGACCCGCGUCGCAUUAGCUAGUUGAUGAGGUAACGGCUCACCAAGGCAACGAUGCGUAGCCGACCUGAGAGGGUGAUCGGCCACACUGGGACUAGAGACACGGCCCAGACUACCUACGGGAGGCAGCAGUAGGGAAUCUUCCGCAAUGGACGAAAGUCUGACGGAGCAACGCCGCGUGAGUGAUGAAGGCUUUCGGGUCGUAAAACUCUGUUGUUAGGGAAGAACAAGUGCUAGUUGAAUAAGCUGGCACCUUGACGGUACCUAACCAGAAAGCCACGGCUAACUACGUUGCCAGCAGCCGCGGUAAUACGUAGGUNGCAAGCGUUAUCGGGAAUUAUUGGGCGUAAAGCCGCGCGCAGUGGUUUC
RNAcentral lists this ribosomal RNA (626 nucleotides) under uncultured bacterium. RNAcentral's name for it is "bacterial SSU rRNA". It matches the Rfam family "Bacterial small subunit ribosomal RNA", at positions 1 to 582 of the family's 1533-position model. The record is from RNAcentral.